Non-coding RNA from Naganishia friedmannii, 88 nucleotides. The record is from the annotation of a GenBank genome assembly. NCBI's taxonomy places the organism in Eukaryota, Fungi, Basidiomycota, Tremellomycetes, Filobasidiales, Filobasidiaceae.
GCCCGAUUAGCGCAGUGGUAGCGCGUGACACUUCUAUUAACCUAGAAAAGGAAUGUCGAGGUCGCGGGUUCGAGCCCCGCAUUGGGUU